RNAcentral lists this ribosomal RNA (254 nucleotides) under uncultured bacterium. Its description in RNAcentral is "partial 16S ribosomal RNA". It matches the Rfam family "Bacterial small subunit ribosomal RNA", at positions 524 to 776 of the family's 1533-position model. The record is from RNAcentral.
UACGUAGGGGGCAAGCGUUGUCCGGAUUUAUUGGGCGUAAAGAGCUCGUAGGUGGUUCGGUAAGUCGGAUGUGAAAUCUCCAGGCUCAACCUGGAGGGGUCAUUCGAUACUGCCGUGACUAGAGGUCGGUAGGGGAGUGUGGAAUUCCUGGUGUAGCGGUGGAAUGCGCAGAUAUCAGGAGGAACACCGAUAGCGAAGGCAGCUCGCUGGGACGGUACUGACGCUGAGGUGCGAAAGCGUGGGGAGCGAACAGG